RNAcentral lists this transfer RNA (67 nucleotides) under Marmota monax (woodchuck). Its description in RNAcentral is "tRNA.Ala". Lineage: Eukaryota; Metazoa; Chordata; Mammalia; Rodentia; Sciuridae. The record is from RNAcentral.
GGAUUGUGGCUCAGUGGAGAGUGCUUGCCUCGCAUGCAUGAGGCACUUGGUUCAAUCCUCAGCACCA